RNAcentral lists this ribosomal RNA (407 nucleotides) under uncultured microorganism. Its description in RNAcentral is "bacterial SSU rRNA". It matches the Rfam family "Bacterial small subunit ribosomal RNA", at positions 509 to 917 of the family's 1533-position model. The record is from RNAcentral.
CAGCCGCCGCGGUAAUACGUAGGGGGCGAGCGUUACCCGGAUUCACUGGGCGUAAAGGGGGUGUAGGCGGCUCGGUAAGUCGGGUGUGAAAUCCCACGGCUCAACCGUGGAAUUGCGCCCGAAACUGCCGAGCUUGGGGCCGGUAGAGGGAGACAGAACUGCCGGUGUAGGGGUGAAAUCCGUAGAUAUCGGCAGGAACGCCGGUGGGGAAGCCGGUCUCCUGGGCCGCGCCCGACGCUGAGGCCCGAAAGCUAGGGGAGCAAACCGGAUUAGAUACCCGGGUAGUCCUAGCCGUAAACGAUGCCCACUAGGUGUGGGGGAGUAUUUCCUCCGUGCUGUAGCUAACGCGUUAAGUGGGCCGCCUGGGGAGUACGCCCGCAAGGGUGAAACUUAAAGGAAUUGGCGGG